RNAcentral lists this ribosomal RNA (439 nucleotides) under uncultured bacterium. RNAcentral describes it as "partial 16S ribosomal RNA". It matches the Rfam family "Bacterial small subunit ribosomal RNA", at positions 339 to 795 of the family's 1533-position model. The record is from RNAcentral.
CUACGGGGCGCUCCAGUGAGGAAUAUUGCACAAUGGGGGGAACCCUGAUGCAGCAACGCCGCGUGGAGGAUGAAGCAUUUCGGUGUGUAAACUCCUUUUAUAUGUCAAGAAAAUGACGGUAGCAUAUGAAUAAGCACCGGCUAACUCCGUGCCAGCAGCCGCGGUAAUACGGAGGGUGCAAGCGUUACUCGGAAUCACUGGGCGUAAAGGACGCGUAGGCGGGUUGGAAAGUCAGGUGUGAAAUCCUACAGCUUAACUGUAGAACUGCACUUGAAACUUCUAAUCUAGAGUAUGGGAGGGGGAGAUGGAAUUAGUGGUGUAGGGGUAAAAUUCGUAGAUAUCACUAGGAAUACCUAAAGCGAAGGCGAGCCCCUGGAGUAAUAUUUAUGAGAAGCAGCCAACGCGAUGCUACAGACCAGGAUUAGAUACCCGUGUAGUC